CCUACGGGAGGCUGCAGUCGAGAAUCAUUCACAAUGGGGGAAACCCUGAUGGGGCGACGCCGCGUGGGGGAAGGAAGGUCUGCGGAGUGUAAACCACUGUCAUGGGGGAGCAAAUUAAAAAGAUAGUACCACAAGAGGAAGAGACGGCUAACGCUGCGCCAGCAGCCGCGGUAAGACAGAGGGCUCAAGCGUUGUUCGGAAUCACUGGGCGUAACGGGUGCGUAGGCUGUUUCGUAAGUCGUGGGUGAAAGGCGCGGGCUCACCCCGCGGACGGCCCCUGAUACUGGGAGACUAGAGUACUGGAGUGGCAACCGGAAUUCUCGGUGUAGCCGUGAAAUGCGUAGAUAUCGGGAGGAACACUCGUGGCGAAGGCGGGUUCCUGGACAUUAACUGACGCUGAGGCACGAAAGCCCGGGGAGCGAACAGGAUUAGAUACCCCUGUAGUC
Molecule: ribosomal RNA, 446 nt
Filed under: uncultured bacterium
Lineage: Bacteria
Description: partial 16S ribosomal RNA
Rfam family: Bacterial small subunit ribosomal RNA
Source: RNAcentral